RNAcentral lists this small RNA (1669 nucleotides) under Plasmodium sp. The record is from RNAcentral. Lineage: Eukaryota; Apicomplexa; Aconoidasida; Haemosporida; Plasmodiidae.
UUUUUGUUAAAUAUAAUUUUAUUAUUUUAUUUUAUUUAUUUAUUUAUUUAUUUUAAUAUGUAUAAUUAUUUUAUAAAAAAAAUUUUUUUUUGAAAAAAACAUAAAAAUCUUAAUUUUCCAAUUAAUAUGUUUUCAUAUGUAUUAUUUAUUUUUAUUUAUCAAAGUAAAGUAUAUAUAUAUUAUAAAGAGAAUAUUAUAUCUAUAAUAUAUUUAUAACUAUAUAUAUAAUAACAUGUAAUUUGUUAUGGUAAUUUUAUUUUGUUAAAGUUAAAUAAUAGAAGUUUUUAUUUUUAUAUGAAUUUUUAUAUUUUUUGGAAAAUUAUUGAAGUUUGUACAAUUUACGACUAGCGAAAAGAAAAAAGCUAAAUAAAAUAAUAACUAGCCAUUUUAGAUUUUAUUAGCUAUAUGGCAUUAUUAUUAUAAAUUAUUAGGAGGCUACAGCUUCUAUUUUUUUUUUUUAUAUCCACUUUAAUGUAAAAAUUUUGGGAAGUAAAUUUACAAAAAAUCAUUAAGUUAUGUGAGUUAUAAAAUUUAGUACCUAUUUUUGAUAACAGAUAUUCUUCCAAAAAGGAUUAGUAUUAUCUAGGUGUAAUAUAUAAUAUUAUAUGAAUUACAAAAAAAAAAAAAAUUAGCUGCUUUAUAUUUGUUGUUGUAUUUUUAAGUUUUGGGUAUAAAUAUUUUUAAUUGAACACAUGAUUUGGAUGUGUAGAAUUAAUUUAGUUAUAUUAUUAUAAUGUAUGAACUUUUCUUCAUUAAUAUGUUUAGGAUAGAAUGGUAAUACAGAGAUAUAACUAUGUGAACUAAUUUAUUUUUUAAUAAUAUUUAUAAGAAUUUAUCAAGAAAUAUACGUAUUAUUUAUUAAAAUCAUACUCGAGUUUCUCUAGUUUAUUAUGGAUAGACGAAGCAAAAUCUAUUAUUAUUUUUCAGAACCAAUAAAAACUAUUAAAUGAAUACUAUAUCUUCUUUUUUUCAUCUUUUUUUUUCAUUUAUUUUCAUUUCUUUUCUGGUUUUUUUUUUUUUUCUUUUUUUUUUCAAUAAAAAGGAAAUUAAGGUUUCUCAUAAAAUAAUUAGUUUUGGUAUUUUAUGCUAUAUGAAUAAUAUUUUGUAAAAGUAUAUCUAGAAGAUUUUAUAGUUCUAAUGAUAGUAUGAAAUCGAAUAAAACUAUUUAAAUAUCAUUGUUCACGAUGAAUACGUAUAAUGUUUGUAUAUAUUUUAUAAAUGUUCAUAAUUAUAUGAUGUAAUUGAAAUGAGGAAAGUGUUUUUUUUUUUUUUUUUUUUAAUAAUAAAAGAAGAAUGAAGAAAAGAAAUAAAAAUGUUAUAAUUUUGCAUAACAUCAGUAAAACAUUAUGAUAUAAUAUUAUAUAAUUAAAUAUAUUAUUUUGAAAAAAAUAUAAUGUUAUAAUUCGGAUGUAUUUUAUGUUAAAAAUACAAAAGGUUUACUCAAAUUAUUCAGAUAAAAGAAAUAUAUUAAACUUUUUAUAUUCAUAAAUUUUUUUUUCUUUUUUUCAAUUGAUAUAUGUUCAUAUAUUAGGGUGUAAAUUUUAAAAUAUAAUUAUCAUGAAUUUAAUAUGGUAAAUGGAAUAACAAAUAUAUAUAUAUUUCAUUUUUUUUUUUUUCUUCAUAUUUUAUAUAGAUUUAUGUAUAUAUAUAUAUAAUUUUUUUUCUCCCU